This 866-nucleotide ribosomal RNA is filed under the name uncultured bacterium. RNAcentral's name for it is "bacterial SSU rRNA". It matches the Rfam family "Bacterial small subunit ribosomal RNA", at positions 51 to 890 of the family's 1533-position model. The record is from RNAcentral.
AUACAUGCAGUCGAGCGAAUCUUUAGGAGCUUGCUCCUAUUGGUUAGCGGCGGACGGGUGAGUAACACGUGGGCAACCUACCUAUAAGACAGGGAUAACUUCGGGAAACCGUAGCUAAUACCGGAUAAUCCAUUUCCUCUCAUGGGGAAAUGCUGAAAGACGGUUUACGCUGUCACUUAUAGAUGGGCCCGCGGCGCAUUAGCUAGUUUGGUGAGGGUAACGGCUCACCAAGGGCAACGAUGCGUAGCCGACCUGAGAGGGUGAUCGGCCACACUGGGGACUGAGACACGGCCCAGACUCCUACGGGAGGCAGCAGUAGGGAAUCUUCCACAAUGGACGAAAGUCUGAUGGAGCAACGCCGCGUGAGCGAUGAAGGCCUUCGGGUCGUAAAGCUCUGUUGUUAGGGAAGAACAAGUACCGGAGUAACUGCCGGUACCAUGACGGUACCUAACCAGAAAGCCACGGCUAACUACGUGCCAGCAGCCGCGGUAAUACGUAGGUGGCAAGCGUUGUCCGGAAUUAUUGGGCGUAAAGCGCGCGCAGGCGGUCCUUUAAGUCUGAUGUGAAAGCCCACGGCUCAACCGUGGAGGGUCAUUGGAAACUGGGGGACUUGAGUGCAGAAGAGGAAAGCGGAAUUCCACGUGUAGCGGUGAAAUGCGUAGAGAAUGUGGAGGAACACCAGUGGCGAAGGCGGGCUUUUCUGGUCUGUAACUGACGCUGAGGCGCGAAAGCGUGGGGAGCAAACAGGAUUAGAUACCCCUGGUAGUCCACGCUGUAAACGAUGAGUGCUAGGGGUUUUUAGGGGGUUUCCGCCCCUUAGUGCUGCGGCUACGCAUUAGCACUCGCCUGGGGGGAGUACGGCCGCA